Molecule: long non-coding RNA, 1686 nt
Organism: Oxyura jamaicensis (ruddy duck)
Lineage: Eukaryota; Metazoa; Chordata; Aves; Anseriformes; Anatidae
Exons: 2
Source: RefSeq, a predicted model, not a curated record
CACGGGGCCAUGCUGGGGCUCCCGCAGCAGCCAGCAGGCCAGAGGGCAGCAAGGGCAGGCGGCGGAGGGCCAGGGGCUGCCCGCAGGCCCCAGGUGCGAAGCCACCACCACCACCAAGCCGGAGCACUGCGGCCAUGCAGGCAGGUGAACACCGCCACAAACCCCGAAAGCAGAAGGCUCGCUCCGCUGGACCGCUUGAAAUCGUAAGUCAUGGGAGGAACCCUGACUCAGCCCAAAACUACGCCAAAGGGAUUCACAUGGAGGCAGAAGUAAACAAAGUUUUAGCAUCAACUUCCACCAUUCUGGACUCUGGUCAAACAGAUCUAGGUCUCUCUGCUCAGCUUAAUGAAAGCCUUCGAUGGGACGGAAUUCUUGAGGACCCUGUGGCAGAGGAAGAAAGGCUGCGAAUCUACAAGCUGAACAGGAGGAAACGGUACGGGUUGUAUAUCCAGCAACACUUCCCUGCUGAGCCAUGCCCGACUGUCGGGCAUUCCCCAUUACUUCAUGUCAGGGCGUCAUGCACGAGCAGCGAUCACACAGAAUGCGAAGAUUGCUGCAGUUAUUUUCCAGGGGAGCAAAAGUGAGCUUGUCCUGAAUACCGAACAAGCCAACAGUCUCCAAGCUGCAAUCAGAGCUGUCAAGAAAAUCUCUCAACAAGCUCUGUAGCUCGGCGUUGAUUGCUCGCUGUUUUGUGUCUGCAUGGAGAACAGAACAUUUGCAUUUUAAAAACAAACAAAGCAACCUGCUUGCUAAAAUACAGAUGCAACUCAGGCUACUCCAACAAUUCAGAAGUGCUUCUCUCUGCCUGUUUGUCUUGCAGGAUCACUCGUCAUUGCUAUUUGUUUAUGUCAAAGUAAUGCUCAUUGCCUGACACCUGAGCUUUUCAGGUAUUCAGACACAUUGUGAAAUUAACAAGCAUAGUCCUUGUGGCAGGCACAGAAAUUGAGCAUGAGCAGCUGAAUCAUCUGUUAUCUUGUAUGAAGGCUGAAAUCAUCUGCAGGUACACAAACUUACUAUUUGAAACUGAGCAAGCUGUGGAGUUUGGGAGUAGAAUCCAGCCCUUGUCUCCUGGCUUGAGGGCUAAUUCUUAAACACAGUCCUUUGUUACAGAAAUUGACUGAAAGGGCCCCCAGAUUUGAGGUUCUGAAGCAUGGCAUAUACAAGGAAAGUGGAUUAGAUCUCUAAAGAUGGGUUUAUCCUCAUCACUGCACGUAACUAGAGAACCAUCUGGCCAACAUGAAUUAAACACAUCAGGAAGUAGGCUGCCUCGUACCCACCUCCUUCCUCAUAGUAAGGCAACAGCUAUCAUACCCAGUGCUACUAUAUUAAGAUAAAUAGCCAAGAGCACACUAAAGGAGGUAUUUGGAAGUUAGAUGGCACAUAUGAAAGGUUUUCAGUUUUCUGAAGCCCUCCUAAAAGAUGCCACUCUGAUUUUUAAACCUUUUCACAAUGUCUCUUCAAAUGUGUGAUGUUUGAAUGCAAGUGAUGUUAAUAUAUUUUUUUCUGCUGUUUAAUACUUUAAACACUGCACGAUGCUCACAUGCUUUCACAGACUUUUGCAGGAGCAGGGGCAUGCUUCAGGAUAGCUUCAAAGCUCCCUAGAUCCCAAUAAUGUCAUUACAUGCAAAUCUGGAGCUUUUGCAAGCAGAUAACCAGAUGAACAAUAAAAAAUAAGCAAAAAAAAAC